GGGAAAUAGCCCAGAUCACCAUUUAAGGCCCCUAAAUAAUUACUAAGUGGCAAAGGAGGUAAUAGUACAUAGACAACCAGGAGGUUUGCUUAGAAGCAGCCAUCCUUUAAAAAUAGCGUAAUAGCUUACUGGUCAAGUGCUUUUGCGCCGAAAAUGAACGGGACUAAGUAAUUUGCCGAAACUGUGAGAUAUAUAAAAUCGGUAGAAGAGCGUUCUGUUUAGGGUGAAGUAGUAGUGAAAAUAAUUAUGGACUGAACAGAAGUGAGAAUGUCGGCUUAAGUAACGAAAACAUUGGUGGAAAUCCAAUGCCCCGAAAACCUAAGGAUUCCUUCGCAAGGUUCGUCCACGAAGGGUUAGUCAGGGCCUAAGAUGAGGUUUAAAAACGUAGUUGAUGGACAACAGGUUAAUAUUCCUGUACUGUAUUAAAUUUGUUAAGAGUGACGAAAAAGGCUAUAUCAUCCAAAUAUUGGAAUUUUGGUUUAAUUUCUUAAGGUGCUGAUAAGUUUAAUAAAAAAUUCUUUGAGCUGAAAGAAAAAAUACGAGAGAUACUACGGUAUCAAAAGUGAUUUAUGUCAUGUUUCCAAGAAAAGCUCUCAUAACUUUAAAUUUAAUGCACCUGUACCUUAAACUGACACAGGUAGGUUGGUAGAGAAUACUAAGGGGCGCGAGAUAACUCUUUCUAAGGAACUCGGCAAAAUAACUCUGUAACUUCGGGAGAAAGAGUGCCUUAUAAUAAAUAUAAGGCCACAGUAACAAGAUCCAAGCGACUGUUUACCAAAAACACAGGUCUCCGCUAAGUUGAAAAACUAUGUAUGGGGGCUGACGCCUGCCCAGUGCCGGAAGGUUAAAGAAAUCGGUUAGCUUUUGCAAAGCUGGUGACUGAAGCCCUGGUGAACGGCAGCCGUAACUAUAACGGUUCUAAGGUAGCGAAAUUCCUUGUCGGGUAAGUUCCGACCCGCACGAAAGGCGUAACGAUUUGGAUACUGUCUCAGAAAGAGACUCGGUGAAAUAGAAUUGACUGUGAAGAUGCGGUCUACUUGCACUUGGACAGAAAGACCCUAUGAAGCUUUACUGUAACUUGAAAUUGGUUUUGGGCUUUUCUUGCGCAGUAUAGGUGGGAGGCUAUGAUCCUCUUUUUUGGAAGAAGGUGAGCCAUAAUGUGAGAUACCACUCUGGAAAAGUUAAAAAUCUAAUCGUAUUUUUUAUCAAUGUACUUGACAGUUUCAGGCGGGCAGUUUUACUGGGGCGGUAGCCUCCUAAAAAGUAACGGAGGCGUACAAAGGUUUUCUCAGUCUGGACGGAAAUUAGUUGCAGAGUAUAAAGAUAUAAGAAAGCUUGACUGCGAGACUUACAAGUCGAGCAGAGACUAAAGUCGGUCUUAGUGAUCCGACGAUGCUGUGUGGAAAGGUCGUCGCUCAACGGAUAAAAGUUACUCUAGGGAUAACAGGCUGAUCUCCCCCAAGAGUUCACAUCGACGGGGAGGUUUGGCACCUCGAUGUCGGCUCAUCGCAACCUGGAGCGGAAGUACGUUCCAAGGGUUGGGCUGUUCGCCCAUUAAAGCGGUACGUGAGCUGGGUUCAGAACGUCGAGAGACAGUUCGGUCCAUAUCCGGUGUGAGUGUUAGAGUAUUGAAAGGAGCUUUCCUUAGUACGAGAGGACCGGGAAGGACACACCACUGAUGUACCAGUUUUUGUUCCAACAGAAUACGCUGGGUAGUCAAGUGUGGAGUGGAUAACUGC
RNAcentral lists this ribosomal RNA (1739 nucleotides) under Euglenaria anabaena. RNAcentral describes it as "LSU rRNA". It matches the Rfam family "Bacterial large subunit ribosomal RNA", at positions 1017 to 2771 of the family's 2925-position model. The record is from RNAcentral. Lineage: Eukaryota; Euglenozoa; Euglenophyceae; Euglenales; Euglenaceae.